This 407-nucleotide ribosomal RNA is filed under the name uncultured bacterium. RNAcentral describes it as "partial 16S ribosomal RNA". It matches the Rfam family "Bacterial small subunit ribosomal RNA", at positions 30 to 526 of the family's 1533-position model. The record is from RNAcentral.
AUUGAACGCUAGCGGGAUGCUUUACACAUGCAAGUCGAACGGAGUGGCGGACGGGUGAGUAAUAAAUCGGAACGUGCCCAGUAGCGGGGGAUAACUACUAGAAAGAGUGGCUAAUACCGCAACCUAUGGGGUCGGCUGAUAUGGGAUUAGCUAGUGGGUUGGGUAACGGCACAACAAGGCAACGAUCAGUAGCUGGUGGGAGAGGACGACCAGCCACACUGGGACUUAGACACGGCCCAGACUCCUACGGGAGGCAGCAGUGGGGAAUUUUGGACAAUGGGGGAAACCCUGAUACAGCCAGCCCGCGUGUAUGAUGAAGGCCUUCGGGUUGUAAAGUACUUUUGGCAGAGAAGCGGUAUCUGCAGAAUAAGCACCGGCUAACUACGUGCCAGCCGCCGCGGUAAUAC